UACAGAGGUCCCAAGCGUUGUUCGGAUUCAUUGGGCGUAAAGGGCGCGUAGGCGGCCUGCUAAGUCACACGUGAAAUCCCUCGGCUCAACCGGGGAACUGCGUGUGAUACUGGCGGGCUUGAAUUCGGGAGAGGGAUGUGGAAUUCCAGGUGUAGCGGUGAAAUGCGUAGAUAUCUGGAGGAACACCGGCGGCGAAGGCGGCAUCCUGGACCGAGAUUAACGCUGAGGCGCGAAAGCUAGGGUAGCAAACGGG
This 253-nucleotide ribosomal RNA is filed under the name uncultured bacterium. RNAcentral describes it as "partial 16S ribosomal RNA". It matches the Rfam family "Bacterial small subunit ribosomal RNA", at positions 524 to 776 of the family's 1533-position model. The record is from RNAcentral.